GAUGAACGCUGGCGGCGUGCCUAAUACAUGCAAGUCGAACGAAGAUCUAGCUUGCUAGAUCUUAGUGGCGAACGGGUGAGUAAUACAUAAAUAAUCUGCCCAUAUGACUGGGAUAACUAUUGGAAACGAUAGCUAAUACCGGAUAGGUUGAUUGGAGGCAUCUCUGAUUAAUUAAAGUAGGAUUUCUACACAAAUGGAUGAGUUUAUGGCGCAUUAGUUAGUUGGUGGGGUAACGGCCGACCAAGACGAUGAUGCGUAGCCGACCUGGGAGGGUGACCAGCCACACUGGGACUGAGACACGGGCCAGACUCCUACGGGAGGCAGCAGUAGGGAAGUUUCGGCAAUGGGCGCAAGCCUGACCGAGCAACGCCGCGUGAGUGAUUAAGGCCUUCGGGUUGUAAAGCUCUGUUGUAAGGGAAGAACAUUCAGGAUAGGAAAUGAUCUUGAACUGACGGUACCUUACCAGAAAGCCACGGCUAACUACGUGCCAGCCGCCGCGGUAA
Molecule: ribosomal RNA, 503 nt
Filed under: uncultured bacterium
Lineage: Bacteria
Description: partial 16S ribosomal RNA
Rfam family: Bacterial small subunit ribosomal RNA
Source: RNAcentral